AUUGAACGCUGGCGGCAGGCCUAACACAUGCAAGUCGAACGGCAACAGGAAGAAGCUUGCUUCUUUGCUGACGAGUGGCGGACGGGUGAGUAAUGUCUGUGAAACUGCCUGAUGGAGGGGGAUAACUACUGGAAACGGUAGCUAAUACCGCAUAACGUCGCAAGACCAAAAAGGGGGACCUUCGGGCCUCUUGCCAUCGGAUGUGCCCAGAUGGGAUUAGCUAGUAGGUGGGGUAACGGCUCACCUAGGCGACGAUCCCUAGCUGGUCUGAGAGGAUGACCAGCCACACUGGAACUGAGACACGGUCCAGACUCCUACGGGAGGCAGCAGUGGGGAAUAUUGCACAAUGGGCGCAAGCCUGAUGCAGCCAUGCCGCGUGUAUGAAGAAGGCCUUCGGGUUGUAAAGUACUUUCAGCGGGGAGGAAGGGAGUAAAGUUAAUACCUUUGCUCAUUGACGUUACCCGCAGAAGAAGCACCGGCUAACUCCGUG
This 490-nucleotide ribosomal RNA is filed under the name uncultured bacterium. RNAcentral's name for it is "partial 16S ribosomal RNA". It matches the Rfam family "Bacterial small subunit ribosomal RNA", at positions 30 to 507 of the family's 1533-position model. The record is from RNAcentral.